Ochotona princeps (American pika) is the source of this 1335-nucleotide long non-coding RNA. RefSeq lists it as uncharacterized. The transcript is spliced from 2 exons. The record is from RefSeq and is a predicted model, not a curated record. Lineage: Eukaryota; Metazoa; Chordata; Mammalia; Lagomorpha; Ochotonidae.
GCCACUGGGAGUCCUUGCUAUGAGUUUAAGGUGUGCCUGCAGGUUUCCAAAGGGCUGGGAGGGUUGCCUGGUUGGACCCGGGUGGCAGCCAAGCCUGAGGUUUCUGCCUUAGGGUUGACGGUAGGUAAAGUGCUGUGAGCCUGCUCGCAGCCCUGCUCCUGUAGCUGUUCCAAUCUCAACAAGCCUGCCCUUUCUUACCAACCGAGAUGAUUCUCCACAAAGAAGGGUCCAAAGUCUAACAGGAAAGAUGAUAGAACCAGGAGCCUGAGUCCCAGCUGGCUACCUUCUCUCCAAUUCCAUUCACCUGAUGAAAUUGAAAAGUCCUUCUGUUCUACCCAGUGGUGAGAAAUAAAAAAGCAACUCCCUUAACCUGCCUGACCGGUUCUGAGACCUGAAACUUGGCCAACCCCUUUAUAGAAUAUAUAACCCAGGAUACCAGGCCCAGCCCAGAGCCGUCCGCUCUUUGUUCCUAUCAGCAUGGCAAAGCCCAUCGCCCACACCACCUGCCCACCUUCCACUUGCCUCUCUGCAGCAAACCCUAAAGAUUUUAGUGUCUAUUGGCCCUUAGGAUCCAGGCAAAAGCAAAUAGUUUUCAGAGAAGCGUUUUGUAGUGACAAAGAACAGGCACGGGUGCAUAAGUGAAUGACAAUCGCAGAAACAGCCAAUUAACUGGUGAAUCCCUGUGGUCUGCGGGCUCAACCAGGAACGCGUGCGGGAGGCAGAGAAGCAGCUGCAGCCCAAUUAAACUCAGGAGCUGAGCUACCUCGGGAGGGUUCCAGCUUCUGGUUUACCUAAACAGAUCUGGUUUCUCGCAGAACUGGGGGAACUGCUGCACACAGACGCAGAUGCUGAUGCUCGCCCUCCUCGUCACUGCUGGCAACUGAGCUGGAAUAUUCAUGGACGCAAACCGGGAAGACGGAAGGGUCUCUAGACUCACACUUUUCCUGGCAUUGCGGUAGCAGAGAGAUGGUGAGUGUUGGCUCCUGCAAUCGAUCAGCCAGAAGAAACUGUGCCUGUGCCAGGCCCCCGUGGAGGAAGACACGAUUCCAGAAUUGGCACUCAGUUUGCAAGUCUCUGAGAUGCCAGCUGAUCCUUUAGUUAAUGAGCCCAGAGCAUCCAAACCCCCCUAUUAUGGAACAGCUCCGACUGAAUGAUGAUACUAGGCAACCCUGGGCCUUGGCCAUCCUCAUCGGGGCCCAUGAAGUAGUUCUCUUUGUGUCUGUCAUGUUUGAGCUUUCUUCCAUCUGGGAUGAAUUUUCCAACUUUACUUUCUGAUCGAAAUAUGGUCUUCUUCUUCAAUGAAUAAACACCUAUUAAGGGCUUGUUUCCCACCUA